UGCAAGUCGAGGGGUAUGCUUCUUCGGAAGCAGAGACCGGCGCACGGGUGCGUAACGCGUAUGCAAUCUACCUUUCACAGAGGGAUAGCCCAGAGAAAUUUGGAUUAAUACCUCAUAGUAUAGCAGUUUCGCAUGAAACCACUAUUAAAGUCACGACGGUGAAAGAUGAGCAUGCGUCCCAUUAGCUAGUUGGUAAGGUAACGGCUUACCAAGGCAACGAUGGGUAGGGGUCCUGAGAGGGAGAUCCCCCACACUGGUACUGAGACACGGACCAGACUCCUACGGGAGGCAGCAGUGAGGAAUAUUGGACAAUGGGCGCAAGCCUGAUCCAGCCAUGCCGCGUGCAGGAUGACGGUCCUAUGGAUUGUAAACUGCUUUUAUACGAGAAGAAACCCUCCGACGUGUCGGAGCUUGACGGUAUCGUAAGAAUAAGGAUCGGCUAACUCCGUGCCAGCAGCCGCGGUAAUACGGAGGAUCCAAGCGUUAUCCGGAAUCAUUGGGUUUAAAGGGUCCGUAGGCGGUCAGAUAAGUCAGUGGUGAAAGCCCAUCGCUCAACGGUGGAACGGCCAUUGAUACUGUCUGACUUGAAUUAUUAGGAAGUAACUAGAAUAUGUAGUGUAGCGGUGAAAUGCUUAGAGAUUACAUGGAAUACCAAUUGCGAAGGCAGGUUACUACUAAUGGAUUGACGCUGAUGGACGAAAGCGUGGGU
This 709-nucleotide ribosomal RNA is filed under the name uncultured bacterium. Its description in RNAcentral is "bacterial SSU rRNA". It matches the Rfam family "Bacterial small subunit ribosomal RNA", at positions 56 to 766 of the family's 1533-position model. The record is from RNAcentral.